Molecule: ribosomal RNA, 253 nt
Filed under: uncultured bacterium
Lineage: Bacteria
Description: partial 16S ribosomal RNA
Rfam family: Bacterial small subunit ribosomal RNA
Source: RNAcentral
UACGUAGGUGGCAAGCGUUAUCCGGAAUUAUUGGGCGUAAAGAGCGCGCAGGUGGUUAAUUGAGUCUGAUGUGAAAGCCCACGGCUUAACCGUGGAGGGUCAUUGGAAACUGGUGAUCUUGAGUGGGCGAGAAGUAUGCGGAAUGCGUGGUGUAGCGGUGAAAUGCAUAGAUAUCACGCAGAACUCCGAUUGCGAAGGCAGCAUACCGGCGCCCGACUGACGCUGAGGCACGAAAGCGUGGGGAUCGAACAGG